UACGGAGGGUGCAAGCGUUAUUCGGAAUUACUGGGCGUACAGGGCGCGUAGGCGGUUUGGUAAGUCCGGUGUGAAAGCCCACGGCUCAAUCGUGGAAGUGCACUAGAUACUGCCAGACUGGAGUGCAGGAGAGGAGAACGGAAUUCCCGGUGUAGGGGUGAAAUUCGUAGAUAUCGGGAGGAACAACGGAGGCGAAGGCGGUUCUCUGGACUGCAACUGACGCUGAGGCGCGAAAGCGUGGGGAGCAAACAGG
Molecule: ribosomal RNA, 253 nt
Filed under: uncultured bacterium
Lineage: Bacteria
Description: partial 16S ribosomal RNA
Rfam family: Bacterial small subunit ribosomal RNA
Source: RNAcentral